Molecule: ribosomal RNA, 253 nt
Filed under: uncultured bacterium
Lineage: Bacteria
Description: partial 16S ribosomal RNA
Rfam family: Bacterial small subunit ribosomal RNA
Source: RNAcentral
UACGUAGGGGGCAAGCGUUGUCCGGAUUUAUUGGGCGUAAAGAGCGUGUAGGCGGCCAUACAGGUCAGCUGUGAAAACUCGAGGCUCAACCUCGAGACGUCGGUUGAAACCGCAUGGCUAGAGUCCGGAAGAGGAGAGUGGAAUUCCCGGUGUAGCGGUGAAAUGCGCAGAUAUCGGGAAGAACACCUAUGGCGAAGGCAGCUCUCUGGGACGGUACCGACGCUGAGACGCGAAAGCGUGGGGAGCAAACAGG